Molecule: long non-coding RNA, 1493 nt
Filed under: Mus musculus (house mouse)
Lineage: Eukaryota; Metazoa; Chordata; Mammalia; Rodentia; Muridae
Description: predicted gene 11734, transcript variant 3 (Gm11734)
Source: RNAcentral
AGUUUUAAGACUGGAAGAUCCUGAGGAAAGUCACUGCUCCCUGCCCUGGGUUCCCAUCCAGGCCACUUUAGAGGCAAGGCUGUACUGCUGAGAAGAGAUUCUAAAUCCAGCUGGAAAAUGUCCCUCAGCAGGACCCACAGAGGAUAACAUUGAAAAAGGCAGUUUGACCUCCAGGUGGAGAGGGACAAGGCCUACUGUGUGAAGAAGAUGGUGGCCUCAUUCCCCUGCAGCUACCAGCUCCACAAGACAGGUGGCCGUCGCAGGCCUCUACCCCAACCUGGCCCAUCGGAGAUCCUGGCUCUGUAGGCAGAGCAGAGGACCAAGCCUUGCUCUCUGGCCACUCCAGCUCCUUAGGGGAAGUAGGUGUGUGUCUCCUCGAGAGGGUCUAAGCCAUAUCUCACUUCUCCACUGUCUUUCUCCAGGACAGUGUCCCCAAGAUGUACGUCUCAGCCAGGACCCCCAGAGCAGCCAGAAAAAGAGAUUGAGAGAAGCACACAGCCCCUCCCCAAGAUCCAGCACCCCCAUAUCACAGAAGGCUGCAGCUGUGGUUCUGUGGAGGAAAAGCAGGGCCCGAGAGUCCAGUCUCUCCUGGCAGUCAGUGCCCUUCCUGGGAUUCAAGAGAGAAACUUCCUUUUCCACAGUCUAAUGUGUAAGAUGUCAGCCACCACACCUGGCCUGCCACACUUCCUUGAUGCUAUUGACAUUUAUAAUAGCAAGCAGGUUUUCUCCCUUUGGGUCCGGAGAUCAGAGUUCUUUGUUGGGAUUGAAAGCAUGAACGUGUCAUUUGAUGGGGCUUUGGACAGUGGUCAUGACGUGAAGAAUUAGGAAGCCAUAGGCUGGGAGGCAAGCCCAGGGACAUGACCUGCAGAGGAAGGCCCAUGCACCUGCCACCAGGCAUCGAAGACCUCAAGGCCAUUCUCCGGUGAACCCAGGGGUGACAGACUGAACAGUGAAUUGCCAAGACCGAGGGCUGAUCUGCUCUACAGAUGUCUCCUGCAGACUCCAAAGCAUUCUAUAACCUAUUCUAACCACGGCUCUGUGCGGGCUGUGGUGCUUCUGUGCCCUCUGCCCCUGGCACAGCAUGAGGCCGGCAGCUGAUUCAGCGCAUUGUCUGGAGACCCAGCAUGGUGCCAUCUCUGCUGACUUUCAUCUCUAUUGGCUAAGAAUCCUUGCCAACAGGGCCUCUGAAAUGAGGGAGGCACACACGGAUCUGCCCGGGAACGUGUGCUACAAGGUUAAGCGUGUUUGCCCAGGCGAGGUCCGGAGUUCAAAUCCCAGCAACCACAUGGUGGCUCACAACCAUCUGUAAUGAGAUCUGACUCCCUCUUCUGGAGUGUCUGAAGACAGCUACAGUGUUCUUACAUGUAAUAAUAAAUAAAUCUUUAAAAAAAAAAAAAAGAAAAUUACCUUACUGGCAACCCUCGUACUAGCUACCUGACACCCAUAGGCACAAAUGAAUAAAAUAAAAUAUGCUUCAGAUAUAUUGAGUAAAA